This 2281-nucleotide ribosomal RNA is filed under the name Amphibiophilus mooiensis. RNAcentral describes it as "bacterial SSU rRNA". The stretch from base 1336 to 2281 matches the Rfam family "Eukaryotic large subunit ribosomal RNA", at positions 1 to 925 of the family's 3401-position model. The record is from RNAcentral. Lineage: Eukaryota; Metazoa; Nematoda; Chromadorea; Rhabditida; Amphibiophilidae.
UGACAGAUUGAAAGCUCUUUCUCGAUUUGGUGGUUGGUGGUGCAUGGCCGUUCUUAGUUGGUGGAGCGAUUUGUCUGGUUUAUUCCGAUAACGAGCGAGACUCUAGCCUGCUAAAUAGUGUCUGGAUUUUCAAGUCCAGUCUACUUCUUAGAGGGAUAAGCGGUGUUUAGCCGCACGAGAAUGAGCGAUAACAGGUCUGUGAUGCCCUUAGAUGUCCGGGGCUGCACGCGCGCUACAAUGGAAGAAUCAGCUGGCUUAUCCAUUGCCGAAAGGCAUUGGUAAACCGUUGAAACUCUUCCGUGACCGGGAUAGGGAAUUGUAAUUAUUUCCCUUAAACGAGGAAUUCCUAGUAAGUGUGAGUCAUCAGCUCACGCUGAUUACGUCCCUGCCAUUUGUACACACCGCCCGUCGCUGUCCGGGACUGAGCUGUCUCGAGAGGACUGCGGACUGCUGUAUUGAGGCCUUCGGGUCGCGGUAUGGCGGGAAACAGUUCAAUCGCAAUGGCUUGAACCGGGUAAAAGUCGUAACAAGGUAUCUGUAGGUGAACCUGCAGAUGGAUCAUCGUCGAAGCCAUUAUGGUUCCUUUGGUCCCGAGGCUUUCAACAUGCUAGACUUCUCGACUUUGUCGCGAACGUUGGAAGCCUCACCACCGUUGUAGCUCUACGUGAGGCGUCUAUAAACGUGAUCAUGAGCCGUUAGUGAGUGGCGGUCGUGAUUGAUCCCGUGUGCUCUUUUCAAGAGCUUUAGACUCAAUGAGCAUUUGCUAGAAAUGCCGCCUCGCUCGUUGGUAGGUAUUGGUGAUUAUGCAGACGCUGCUAGGAAAGCGUUGCUAGUGCGGGACCCGAUUGACGGGAAAUCUUAAAGAUUCGACAGACAUGAGGUCGGACGCCAAUGCAUUACCGUACUUUUUUACUCUUGUUAAUUGCAGACCGUGACCUUGUGUCGCGAAAGUUGACUAGCUUCAGCGAUGGAUCGGUCGAUUCGCGUAUCGAUGAAAAACGCAGCAAGCUGCGUUAUUUACCACGAAUUGCAGACGCUUAGAGUGGUGAAAUUUUGAACGCAUAGCGCCGUUGGGUUUUCCCUUCGGCACGUCUGGUUCAGGGUUGUUUACUAUGUACUGCAGUUUAGCCUGUUAACUGCUUGUCGCAUGGCACUCGUAGCUGGUUCGCUAGCAGCAACGAUUCCCGUGUUAGCAUAGAAUAACGAAAGCAACAUGACGUGCAAACGUCUCUGCAUGAUGUGGCCAUAUUGUUGUCACCGUCUUGACAGCUCAACGAGACUAGGAGCAGUUUUGACGGUAGCUUGUAUGACAACGAUGGCUACUGAUUUGCAUUGCAACCUGAGCUCAGGCGUGACUACCCGCUGAACUUAAGCAUAUCAUUUAGCGGAGGAAAAGAAACUAACAAGGAUUCCCUCAGUAACGGCGAGUGAACGGGGAGAAGCCCAGCGCUGAAUCUUUCGGUUUUACACCGUUAAGAAAUGUAGCGUAUAGGUGUGAUUUUCAGUUUGUGCUGCUUGUCCGAAGUCCCUUUGAUAGGGGCCAUGCCUGAGAGGGUGCAAGACCUGUGCGGAUAGUGGAGCAAACUGUACGAUCAUACUUUGGAGUCGGGUUGCUUGAAAGUGCAGCCUAAAGUGGGUGAUAAACUUCAUCUAAGGCUAAAUAUUGACGCGAAUUCGAUAGCAAACAAGUACUGUGAAGGAAAGUUGCAAAGAACUUUGAAGAGAGAGUUCAAGAGAACGUGAAAUCGCUGGAGUGGAACCGGAGAGAGUUGACGUAGCCGGGUUACUAAGUUCCCUGAAGUCGCUUAAUUGUGUCUGAGGGGGAUGUGUGUUGCCUAUGGCUGCGCUGACAGCGUUGGCUGUGCGUUCCGAACUGUUUUCGUUGCCCACCGUUCGCGGUGGUGUCUUGAUUACGGAUAGGUUUGUCGUGGCUAGCGUUUUAUCCUGCUUGCAGGGUGUCAGUGUGAAAGUCGACCACCUCUCCGACCCGUCUUGAAACACGGACCGAGGAGUGUAACUUGUACGCGAGUCAAAGGGUGGAAAACCCCAAGGCGCAAUGAAAGUAAAGGUCGGUUUACCGGCUGACAUGGGAUCCGCUCUUCGGAGUGGCGCACCAUGGCCCUGUCUUGUCUGCUUGCAGAUGGGCAGCGGUAGAGCGUACAGGUUGCGACCCGAAAGAUGGUGAACUAUGCCUGAGCAGGACGAAGCCAGAGGAAACUCUGGUGGAAGUCCGUAUCGGUUCUGACGUGCAAAUCGAUCGAUAGACUUGGGUAUAGGGGCG